This 253-nucleotide ribosomal RNA is filed under the name uncultured bacterium. RNAcentral describes it as "partial 16S ribosomal RNA". It matches the Rfam family "Bacterial small subunit ribosomal RNA", at positions 524 to 776 of the family's 1533-position model. The record is from RNAcentral.
UACAGAGGGGGCGAGCGUUGUUCGGAAUUACUGGGCGUAAAGGGCGCGUAGGCGGCCUUCUAAGUCGAACGUGAAAUCCCCGGGCUCAACCCGGGAACUGCGUCCGAUACUGGGAGGCUUGAAUCCGGGAGAGGGAUGUGGAAUUUCAGGUGUAGCGGUGAAAUGCGUAGAUAUCUGAAGGAACAUCAGUGGCGAAAGCGACUUCCUGGACCAAUACUGACGCUCAUGUGCGAAAGCGUGGGGAGCAAACAGG